CACGUAGGGCGCGAGCGUUGUCCGGAAUUAUUGGGCGUAAAGAGCUCGUAGGCGGCCUGUUGCGUCCGCUGUGAAAGCCCGGGGCUUAACCCCGGGUCGCAGUGGAUACGGGCAGGCUAGAGGUAGGUAGGGGAGAAUGGAAUUCCCGGUGUAGCGGUGAAAUGCGCAGAUAUCGGGAGGAACACCGGUGGCGAAGGCGGUUCUCUGGGCCGUAACUGACGCUGAGGAGCGAAAGCGUGGGGAGCAAACGGG
RNAcentral lists this ribosomal RNA (252 nucleotides) under uncultured bacterium. RNAcentral describes it as "partial 16S ribosomal RNA". It matches the Rfam family "Bacterial small subunit ribosomal RNA", at positions 524 to 776 of the family's 1533-position model. The record is from RNAcentral.